CUUAUGACCCGCACUUACUGGAAAUUCCUCCUUCAUGGGGAAUAAUUGCAAUCCCCCAUCCCCAUCACGAAUGAGGUUCAACAGGUUACCCGCCUCUGCCACGUAGGGUAGGCACACGCUGAGCCAGUCAGUGUAGCGCGCGUGCAGUCCCGGACAUCUAAGGGCAUCACAGAUCUGUUAUUGCUCAAUUUCGGGUGGCUGAAGGCCACUUGUCCCUCUAAGAAGUUGGGGGACGCCGACCGCUCGGGGGUCACGUAACUAGUUAGCAUGCCAGAGUCUCGUUGGUUAUUGGAAUUAACCAGACAAAUCACUCCACCAACUAAGGCCAUGCACCACCACCCAUGGAACAGAGAAACAGCUAUCAAUCUGUCAAUCCUGUCCCUGUCCGGCCCGGGGGAUUUUUCCCAUGUUGAGUCAAAUUAAGCCGCAGGCUCCACUCCUGGUGGUGCCCUUCCACCAAUUCCUUUAAGUUUCAGCUUUGCAACCGUACUCCCCCCGGAACCUAAAAACCCAAAGACUUUGGUUUCUUGGAAGCUGCCCAGCGGGUCAUGGGAAUAACACCGCCACGUUGCCAGUCGGCAUCGUUUAUGGUCAGAACUACCACGGUAUCUGAUCGUCUUCGAACCUCCGACUUUCAUUCUUGAUUAAUGAAAACAUUCUUGGCAAAUGCUUUCACUCUGGUCCAAACUGCGCCGGUCCAAGAAUUUCACCUCUAGCGGUGCAAUACAAAUGCCCCCAGCUGUCCCUCUUAAUCAUGGCCUCAGUUCCAUAAACCAACAAAAUAGAACCGCGGUCCUAUUCCAUUAUUCCUAGCUGCGGUAUCCAGGCGGCUUGGACCUGAGCUUUUUAACUGCAGCAACUUUAAUAUACGCUAUUGGAGCUGGAAUUACCGCGGCUGCUGGCACUAAACUUGCCCUCCAAUGGAUCUUCGUUAAAGGAUUUAAAGUGGACUCAUUCCAAUUACAGGACCUCGAAAGAGUCCUGUAUUGUUAUGUUUCAUCACUACCUCCUCGAGUCAGGAGUGGGUAAUUUGCAUGCCUGCUGCCUUCCUUGAAUGUGGUAGCCAUUUCUCAGGCUCCCUCUCCAGAAUCGAACCCUGAUUCUCCUUCACCCGUGGUCACCUUGGUAGGCACAGCGACUACCAUCGAAAGUUGAUAGGGCAGACGUUCGAAUGGGUCGUUGCUGCCACAGGGGGGCAUGCGAUUGGCCCGAGGCUAUCUAGAGUCACCAAAGCCGGUGGCACUCGACCCCUAGGCAGGGGCCGGAGAGGGGCUGACCGGGUUGGUUUUGAUCUGAUAAAUGCAGGCAUCUUCCCCGCGAAGGGGGUCAGCACCCUUCGGCAUGCAUUAGCUCUAGAAUUACCACAGUUUUCCAAGUAGGAGAGGAGCGAGCGACCAAAAGAACCAUAACUGAUUUAAUGAGCCAUUCGCAGUUUCACUGUACCGGCCCUGCCUACUUAGACAUGUAUGGCAUAAUCUUUGAGACAAGCAUAUGGUACUGGUA
Molecule: long non-coding RNA, 1503 nt
Filed under: Homo sapiens (human)
Lineage: Eukaryota; Metazoa; Chordata; Mammalia; Primates; Hominidae
Description: non-protein coding LINC00273:11
Source: RNAcentral